CUCGAGUGCCGGUAGGCAGGCAGCAAGAAAAGUAGGAAGGAAGAAGGGAGGCAGGGUGGGCAGCACUGGCUGCCCUUGCCCACCACAUCUCUGCCCAGCUUUUGACUCAGGCUUAGUAAUGGAGGGUGGAACUGAGCCAUAGAAGGAGACAAGAGCAGAAGUGGCUGUUUGAAGUGCAGGCAAGCUGGAGGGAUCAUGCAGAAGGGCAGAAAGAAGAUGGUGAAGAUAGGAGCUUUGUACCUCCCAAAGAUGAAGGCAGAAGAAAUGCCAAUAAAAAGAUAUACAUCCUCAGGAUUCAGACAGUAUCAACUUCAUACAAAUGGCCAGUCAGAUGCCCUCACAAGUUCAGAAGCAGAGCAAGAUGAGGAGAAUCCUUUUGUGUUGCUUGUUCCCUGAAGCCUGGGCCUAUUGGAAACAGAAAAAUGAGAGCCUCAACAUCAGAAGCGUAUGUGAAUAAUAUAAUUGUACCAGAGAAGAUAUUUACCUUGGUAAACCAGUUGCAAUGCAGAAGAGGUCCAUAAUAUCCCUCGAGUUACAGUAUUUACUGAAGGCCACCUUCCAAAGGAAACAAAAUCAAUGAAGAUAAAACAAAGAUGAAAACACUUCCAAUAGCAAUUUUAAUUUACAUCCUGUAGGUAUGGCAUUAAUUUACAUGACUCUUUUUUCUUCUUGGAGAUAUCUGAUUUCUUCAUCAUACUGAGUAUAAUUCUGUUCCCAUUCUGUACUCUUUCAAAACCUUUUAUUAGAUUUUCUGUAGGAAACAAAUAAUAAAAGGAGGAUUUGCGAA
Long non-coding RNA from Hemicordylus capensis (graceful crag lizard), 787 nucleotides. RefSeq lists it as uncharacterized. The transcript has 5 exons. The record is from RefSeq and is a predicted model, not a curated record. NCBI's taxonomy places the organism in Eukaryota, Metazoa, Chordata, Lepidosauria, Squamata, Cordylidae.